Molecule: unclassified non-coding RNA, 392 nt
Filed under: uncultured fungus
Lineage: Eukaryota; Fungi
Description: sequence contains ITS1
Rfam family: 5.8S ribosomal RNA (bases 1-107)
Source: RNAcentral
AAAAUGCGAUACUUGGUGUGAAUUGCAGAAUCCCGUGAAUCAUCGAGUUUUUGAACGCAAGUUGCGCCCGAGGCCUUCCGGCCGAGGGCACGUCUGCCUGGGCGUCACGCAUCUCGUCACCACCCCAACCCGAGCCCGCUUCGCGUAGGCUCGGGCUGGUGCGCGGUGGAUGUUGGCCUCCCGUUCCCGCAGCGGCGCGGAUGGCCCAAAUGCGAGUCCUCGGACAAGGGACGUCACGACUACAGGUGGUUGAAUUCUCAUUCAUUCUAUCUCAUUAGCCCUGACGGCCCCCGGCGGAUCUCAACAAAACCCUAGAGCCUCGCUUCACUCUCGAGCGGAGCGGAGCCUUCGAACGCGACCCCAGGUCAGGCGGGAUUACCCGCUGAAUUUAA